GGGUGCUUGCACCUGGUGGCGAGUGGCGAACGGGUGAGUAAUAUAUCGGAACGUACCUUAUCGUGGGGGAUAACGCAGCGAAAGCUGCGCUAAUACCGCAUACGCCCUGAGGGGGAAAGCGGGGGACCGUAAGGCCUCGCGCGAUUAGAGCGGCCGAUAUCUGAUUAGCUUGUUGGUGGGGUAAAAGCCCACCAAGGCGACGAUCAGUAGCUGGUCUGAGAGGACGAUCAGCCACACUGGGACUGAGACACGGCCCAGACUCCUACGGGAGGCAGCAGUGGGGAAUUUUGGACAAUGGGGGCAACCCUGAUCCAGCAAUGCCGCGUGAGUGAAGAAGGCCUUCGGGUUGUAAAGCUCUUUUGUCAGGGAAGAAACAGCAGCUCUAACACAGUCUGCGAAUGACGGUACCUGAAGAAUAAGCACCGGCUAGCUACGUGCCAGCAGCCGCGGUAAUACGUAGGGUGCAAGCGUUAAUCGGAAUUACUGGGCGUAAAGCGUGCGC
This 502-nucleotide ribosomal RNA is filed under the name uncultured beta proteobacterium. RNAcentral's name for it is "bacterial SSU rRNA". It matches the Rfam family "Bacterial small subunit ribosomal RNA", at positions 74 to 572 of the family's 1533-position model. Lineage: Bacteria; Pseudomonadati; Pseudomonadota; Betaproteobacteria. The record is from RNAcentral.